GAUGAACGCUGGCGGCGUGCCUAAUACAUGCAAGUCGAGCGGUAAGGCCACUUCGGUGGUACACGAGCGGCGGACGGCUGAGUAACACGUAGGAACGUACCCCAAACUGAGGGAUAACUGCUCGAAAGAGUAGCUAAUACCGCAUGUGCUCUAAGGAGUAAAGCUACGGCGGUUUGGGAACGGCCUGCGCAUGAUUAGCUUGUUGGUGAGGUAAUGGCUCACCAAGGCGACGAUCAUUAGCUGGUCUGAGAGGAUGAUCAGCCAGACUGGGACUGAGACACGGCCCAGACUCCUACGGGAGGCAGCAGUAGGGAAUUUUCCACAAUGGGGGCAACCCUGAUGGAGCAACGCCGCGUGCAGGAUGAAGGCCCUUGGGUCGUAAACUGCUUUUAUCUGUGAAGAUUAUGACGGUAGCAGAUGAAUAAGGAUCGGCUAACUCCGUGCCAGCCGCCGCGGUAA
Molecule: ribosomal RNA, 459 nt
Filed under: uncultured bacterium
Lineage: Bacteria
Description: partial 16S ribosomal RNA
Rfam family: Bacterial small subunit ribosomal RNA
Source: RNAcentral